Molecule: ribosomal RNA, 404 nt
Filed under: uncultured bacterium
Lineage: Bacteria
Description: bacterial SSU rRNA
Rfam family: Bacterial small subunit ribosomal RNA
Source: RNAcentral
UAGGGAAUAUUGGACAAUGGGCGAAAGCCUGAUCCAGCAACGCCGCGUGCACGAUGAAGGUCUUCGGAUUGUAAAGUGCUUUUAAGGGAGAUGUGAAAGGACAGUAUCCCUUGAAUAAGCCUCGGCGAACUACGUGCCAGCAGCCGCGGUAGAACGUAGGAGGCAAGCGUUAUCCGGAUUUAUUGGGCGUAAAGCGCGUGCAGGCUGGUUGGAAAGUUGGAUGUGAAAGCUCCUGGCUUAACUGGGAGAGGUCGUUCAAAACUACCAAACUAGAGAAUGGGAGAGGGAAGUGGAAUUCCGGGUGUAGUGGUGAAAUGCGUAGAUAUCCGGAGGAACACCAGUGGCGAAAGCGGCUUCCUGGACCAUUUCUGACGCUUAGACGCGAAAGCUAGGGGAGCGAACGG